Molecule: small RNA, 950 nt
Filed under: Aspergillus oryzae
Lineage: Eukaryota; Fungi; Ascomycota; Eurotiomycetes; Eurotiales; Aspergillaceae
Description: eukaryotic LSU rRNA
Rfam family: Eukaryotic large subunit ribosomal RNA (bases 460-950)
Source: RNAcentral
ACCUUAGUUGCUUCGGCGGGCCCGCCAUUCAUGGCCGCCGGGGGCUCUCAGCCCCGGGCCCGCGCCCGCCGGAGACACCACGAACUCUGUCUGAUCUAGUGAAGUCUGAGUUGAUUGUAUCGCAAUCAGUUAAAACUUUCAACAAUGGAUCUCUUGGUUCCGGCAUCGAUGAAGAACGCAGCGAAAUGCGAUAACUAGUGUGAAUUGCAGAAUUCCGUGAAUCAUCGAGUCUUUGAACGCACAUUGCGCCCCCUGGUAUUCCGGGGGGCAUGCCUGUCCGAGCGUCAUUGCUGCCCAUCAAGCACGGCUUGUGUGUUGGGUCGUCGUCCCCUCUCCGGGGGGGACGGGCCCCAAAGGCAGCGGCGGCACCGCGUCCGAUCCUCGAGCGUAUGGGGCUUUGUCACCCGCUCUGUAGGCCCGGCCGGCGCUUGCCGAACGCAAAUCAAUCUUUUUCCAGGUUGACCUCGGAUCAGGUAGGGAUACCCGCUGAACUUAAGCAUAUCAAUAAGCGGAGGAAAAGAAACCAACCGGGAUUGCCUCAGUAACGGCGAGUGAAGCGGCAAGAGCUCAAAUUUGAAAGCUGGCUCCUUCGGGGUCCGCAUUGUAAUUUGCAGAGGAUGCUUCGGGUGCGGCCCCUGUCUAAGUGCCCUGGAACGGGCCGUCAGAGAGGGUGAGAAUCCCGUCUGGGAUGGGGUGUCCGCGCCCGUGUGAAGCUCCUUCGACGAGUCGAGUUGUUUGGGAAUGCAGCUCUAAAUGGGUGGUAAAUUUCAUCUAAAGCUAAAUACUGGCCGGAGACCGAUAGCGCACAAGUAGAGUGAUCGAAAGAUGAAAAGCACUUUGAAAAGAGAGUUAAAAAGCACGUGAAAUUGUUGAAAGGGAAGCGCUUGCGACCAGACUCGCCUCCAGGGUUCAGCCGGCAUUCGUGCCGGUGUACUUCCCUGGGGGCGGGC